Molecule: microRNA precursor, 80 nt
Filed under: Bombyx mori (domestic silkworm)
Lineage: Eukaryota; Metazoa; Arthropoda; Insecta; Lepidoptera; Bombycidae
Description: mir-2807 microRNA precursor family
Rfam family: mir-2807 microRNA precursor family
Source: Rfam by way of RNAcentral
UUAACUCAAAUUUUACGGAUUUCGAACAGCCUAUGUUUGCCGCUAGGGGCGCUGUUCCAACUACAUAGAAAUUUGAAUUA